Molecule: long non-coding RNA, 263 nt
Filed under: Homo sapiens (human)
Lineage: Eukaryota; Metazoa; Chordata; Mammalia; Primates; Hominidae
Description: HSALNT0344949
Source: RNAcentral
UCCAUUGUUAACAGUAGUGCUACCAUCAUGAGCUGAGCAUGGAGGUUGGGAAGAAAUUUGAGGCUCUUCAGUAACUCGUUAAAUAUUUUCUGAUUCUAAGAGCUUAACCAGACAGACUACCGAGGUUGAAACUUUACUUGUGCUGAACUUUUCGAAACAUUCCAGGAGACUUUGGAGGUUGGACUUUUAAUAUGCCAACUGCUCGUUCCUGUACUUAUAACUAUAGUGUAACUACAUUGUCCUGGAUUUUAUUCAAGUUGAUA